GGGGCUGUAGCUCAGUGGCAGAGUACUUGUCUAGUGAGUAUGAGGCCCUGGGUUCAAUCCCCAGCACCACCA
This 72-nucleotide transfer RNA is filed under the name Heterocephalus glaber (naked mole-rat). It matches the Rfam family "tRNA". Rfam says of the family: Transfer RNA (tRNA) molecules are approximately 80 nucleotides in length. Their secondary structure includes four short double-helical elements and three loops (D, anti-codon, and T loops). The record is from Rfam by way of RNAcentral. Lineage: Eukaryota; Metazoa; Chordata; Mammalia; Rodentia; Bathyergidae.